Molecule: non-coding RNA, 27 nt
Filed under: Mus musculus (house mouse)
Lineage: Eukaryota; Metazoa; Chordata; Mammalia; Rodentia; Muridae
Source: RNAcentral
UGAGAUGUGAAAGGAGCCACCAGUCUG